AACGCACAUUGCGCCCGAGGUUUAGGCCAAGGGCAUGGCUGGCUCAGCGUCGAUGCACCCCCUCGCCCCCAAGCGGGGCGGACCUUGGUUCCCUCGGCUCAUUCUGUGGCCGGGCGGACUGAAGCGCAAGGCCCUCGCCGGCUCCGCCGCUUGGAGGCAGCACGGUAGGUCGCCCUCAUCAGGUGACUGUGCCGGGAUUGCAGGCCAGGCGACGGAGAUCCAAGCUGAUCGAGGGAGGCAGGAGACGUACCAAAAUCCAUUCGACCUGAGCUCAGGCAAGAGCACCCGCUGAACUUAA
This 298-nucleotide unclassified non-coding RNA is filed under the name uncultured fungus. RNAcentral's name for it is "partial contains 5.8S rRNA and ITS2". Lineage: Eukaryota; Fungi. The record is from RNAcentral.